This 395-nucleotide transfer-messenger RNA is filed under the name Anaerolineaceae. Its description in RNAcentral is "UBA4781 sp012797815 Standard tmRNA". It matches the Rfam family "transfer-messenger RNA". From Rfam's summary of the family: Bacterial tmRNA, also known as 10Sa RNA or SsrA, is named for its dual tRNA and mRNA-like properties. Its role is to liberate the mRNA from a stalled ribosome. To accomplish this part of the tmRNA is used as a reading frame that ends in a translation stop signal. Lineage: Bacteria; Bacillati; Chloroflexota; Anaerolineae; Anaerolineales. The record is from RNAcentral. RNAcentral also lists the same sequence under 1 other name.
GGGGAUGAUAGGCUUCGACGGAGGAGGCUGAACCCGGACUGCGAGCUGAGAGGUACCGACCUCAUAAAAUCAGUACAAACAACAAGUGCCAAACGCACAAAUUAUGCAACUCUUCCUUUAGCUGCGUAAGCAGUUGAACAGAGUUCAUGGUCUCUAGCUAGACCACGUCUGCCCAUCCUGUUCUCCGGUCAGAGAUGGAGCAGGCGUCACAAGACCGGAGUGCCGCCUGUUUGUGCCGCGCUCCAGGCGUAAGCGGACUCUAGGGUCCAAGUGGCUGGUUGCAGAUCUGGUUGGGUGAUUGCCCUGUCUGCAAUGAGAUGAACAAUCACCUACGCUCGUAGAUGUUCGAGGCUCUAUUCUUUCGGACGCGGGUUCGAUUCCCGCCAUCUCCACUG